AUGAUGACAGGACUUAAAAAGAUCUGCAGGAACCACAAAUCCCCAAGAUUACAAAAGGGAAGCUCUCUGGAAAGAGCUUGCGUGGAAAGCCCUGAGUCACCAGCAAAUACAGAGUGGAGAUUUUUUUCCCCUUUAACUCAGAAGCUUGAUUCUGAAAGUGGUGAUGCUACUAAGGAUGAUCUAGGGUCCACUGGCCUCAUGCUCACAGUUGGGAAGGGGCCUCCUUUGUCACCCUUGCACCUUUUCACAUUUCUCGCUCCUCACCUCCAUGGGUCAAGGUUAGUACUGCAUGGAUAUCUAGUCCAUGGUGGAUCUGACGCUUGCGGUCUGCUCCACUUGCAGAGAUCACUGGACAUUUUCAAGUGUGAACUCUCUGAAGAAGGCAAACAUAAGGAAUCCCGUAUGGUAUUUGCUCCUGGAAAUCAUGAUGUGGAGCAGUGAUCACAGCCGCUAUCAACGGUAGAAUUAGAGAAAGGACACCCUUUUCAGGAGAAAAAGUAAGUGUUGGAAAUAAUUAAAAUAACUACAACUGAUAUAUACCCAGGGGAGCCAUAAAAUGUAGUUUUCUCUGUUGUUGCCAAAUGUCUAGCUGAACUGAAAUAUAAUCCGUUAGCAUCUGACAUGUUAAAAAAAAAAGUCUGACUUAGGAAUGGACAUUGGAGUUGGUUGUUCACCACAUUUCUGAAGUUUACAUCUGUUGACCAGCCCUAAGUCCUACUUAACAUAUGAAAUCUGAUGAGAGAUCACAGUCUGAAUUAAUAGAUGUGAAAUGCAUUGAGUUUAAUUAGCACAUCUUUACUCGUCCAUGCUGAAGACUUGGCAUUGAAAGAAAACUAGAGCAAAAUUCAGUAGCACAAACACUCUGGUACACAGAGAUUUUAAAAAGAAAUUGUAAUAAGAAACAUGAAGCCUAUUGAACUCCUUUAAAAAGCCAAACCACAUGGAGGUAGCCAGUUAAAAAGUACACCCCUUGGAAUUUAGUCUAAAAGUCCGCUAACACAUCUACGCCUUUACUGCUGAAUCACAUCUGACAUGUCUGUGAUCGUGCCAGAAGAAAUAAAAUAAUAAAACUAACCCA
RNAcentral lists this long non-coding RNA (1078 nucleotides) under Oryctolagus cuniculus (rabbit). RNAcentral describes it as "lncRNA (ENSOCUG00000037094.1)". Lineage: Eukaryota; Metazoa; Chordata; Mammalia; Lagomorpha; Leporidae. The record is from RNAcentral.